Molecule: non-coding RNA, 84 nt
Organism: Syncephalis fuscata
Lineage: Eukaryota; Fungi; Zoopagomycota; Zoopagomycetes; Zoopagales; Piptocephalidaceae
Source: the annotation of a GenBank genome assembly
GGUAACAUGGCCGAGCGGUCUAAGGCGCUACGUUCAGGUCGUAGUCUACUUCUGUGGGCGUGAGUUCGAAUCUCACUGUUACCA